Molecule: long non-coding RNA, 774 nt
Organism: Daphnia magna
Lineage: Eukaryota; Metazoa; Arthropoda; Branchiopoda; Diplostraca; Daphniidae
Exons: 3
Source: RefSeq, a predicted model, not a curated record
CAUGUUUUGCUUCCACCAUUUAAUCUGCUACGUAUAAAUUCGGCCGACGGCAAUUGUCGGUCAUUUGGGAACCUCUUCUUUGAGCUAUGAGAGUUGUACUCUGCGUCCAACCCACUGUAAGUGUAACAAGGAUUACUGAACUGGAUGAACACUAAUUGCCCUAAAAUUGGCUUCUUGUUAAAAGUUGAUGAUGAUAUCUAUGUCAAUAUUUACAAUCUUGCAAAGAUUGUCGAAUCCUACCACAAAUCGGGCAAUUUCUCUAUUUUCGGACGCAGUCCUAAUUCGGGAUUUCCUUCUCACCAUUACAACAACUUUGGACCAGUAAGAGGUGUGGACUAAAAGAUUUAGAUGAAAUUAAUGGACUUGUAAGAUUACCAAAACCCUGUCAGUAUGAAAUGACAUUCGACGCUUGGCCAUGGAAUUCGUAUCCUGAUUACAUAAGUGGACCAGUCUAUUUGAUACACGGAAGUUCAAUCCUCCCUUCAAUACCGACAGCAUGUAUGCUCCUCCGCCAUUUGAUGACGAAUGUGAUGCAUGGAAAUACCUCGCAUGGGACGAUUGGCUAUCACCGCUGUCCCAUAAACAGAUCGACAACUUUUACCGGGGUUCAACCAACAAGUCAUGCGACAGGCCCAAUGCUUCCAUCAAGUUCAAUUUCAGAAGCAAUUAUUCUACUUUUCCUUGAACAAGUGUAACUGUGUAAGCGCAUAGACCUACAACUUACUGCUGAUGUAGUAAAGGUUUACCCGGUUUACCUCGCCUAUCCGACAAGAA